UACGAAGGAUGCAAGCGUUAUCCGGAUUUAUUGGGUUUAAAGGGUGCGUAGGCGGACUUAUAAGUCAGUGGUGAAAUCUCGUUGCUUAACAACGAACGUGCCAUUGAUACUGUAGGUCUUGAGUACAGAUGCCAUUGGCGGAAUGUGUCAUGUAGCGGUGAAAUGCAUAGAUAUGACACAGAACACCGAUUGCGAAGGCAGCUGACGAAACUGUAACUGACGCUGAGGCACGAAAGCGUGGGGAUCAAACAGG
RNAcentral lists this ribosomal RNA (253 nucleotides) under uncultured bacterium. RNAcentral describes it as "partial 16S ribosomal RNA". It matches the Rfam family "Bacterial small subunit ribosomal RNA", at positions 524 to 776 of the family's 1533-position model. The record is from RNAcentral.